Molecule: long non-coding RNA, 1059 nt
Filed under: Volvox carteri
Lineage: Eukaryota; Viridiplantae; Chlorophyta; Chlorophyceae; Chlamydomonadales; Volvocaceae
Description: long non-coding RNA (VCAR_LNC001309)
Source: RNAcentral
UAAGGCCCAGUGCUGCCCGUGUCCUCAAUUCAUUCCGCGCAUUACCCUAAUAAGGUUAUCUUUAAUUUGUUGUUCCGCGCGUAUGCAUUUUUUAUACUCACGCUGAUCCUUCAAUGACGACAGUGUAAGGUAAAGCCCAAUGAUUUAGCAUUCAUAACAAGAAUCUGUCUUUCUUACUCUAUAAUGGGCGCACCAUUCAUUCGCAGGCAAGCAGCGGGAAGCAGGAAAAGGGGGACUAGACGGCACCAGGCAGUAAGUGGCCAUCAUGCAGGUGCAUACACUGACAUUAUGCCUUGCCAUUUUACAUUCCAAGGACACGAGCAGAAGGACAAGCGCAAGGAACAGGACAAGCGCAAGGAUGGUAAGGAUAUGAACAAGAGUCGGGCUCAAACGGGACGUGGCAGGCCACGUAACGGCCGUUCGGAGGUAUGAAGCCUCUGGUGCAAGACCAUGGCUAUUAACUAAAUGCUUUUUAUUGCGUUAUUUCGAGGCACGUUAUGCCGGUGUCACACCUACAGCCGUCAUUGCACGUAACACGCUCACAACUAUGUGUUCCUGCCUAAACAAUGAUUUGUUGUGAUGCAGAAAUAUGCCUUCCGUCGUGAACAUGACACGCGAGCGGAGGCGAGGAUUGAGCGCUUUAACAAGAAGACAAUAGUGGCGGUAUUGUGGUACAGUUACAUGCGCUUAGCUUUUGUGUGCCCAUUUUUUCUGACGUUUAGACUGUUGAACCCGUUUACAUGGAGUUGCUGGCUGAGUUGCAUUAGGAUUUGCUAUGAAUUCGUACCUGUUAUUCAGGAAUAGUUGAAAUGUAUGAAGAAAACAGUGAGUGCUGUGGUUCACAGGUCAUGUGCAACGGCGGUGCACUUUGCACAUUGUACAGCUCGUGUACUGCUAUUGUAAUGCUUUUGUAUUGCACGGUUGGCCGUACAGUUCGCAGUCCCGCACGCAAAUCGCAGUCACUCGCGUAAAAUUCAAAUGGUAGCACAUGAAUUCGCAGGAUUCGCAGUCGCGUAGCCAUUCGCAAUCCCUUGGCGAUGCGCUUGCGUUAAAAGUCAC